AUUGACCGCUGUCGGCCUGCUUUACACAUGCCAGUCGGACGGCAGCACCAAGAAGCUUGCUUUUUGGGUGCCGCGUGGCGAAUGGGCGAGUCAUAUAUCGCAACGUACCGAGUACUGGGGGAUAACUACUCGCACGAUUAGCUAAUACCGCAUAUUCUCUGAGGAGGAAAGCACGGGACCUUCGGGCCUUGCGUUAUUCGAGCGGCCGAUAUCUGAUUUGCUAGUUGGUGGGGUAAAGGCCUACCAAGGCGACGAUCAGUAGCGGGUCUGCGAGGAUGAUCCACCACACUAGCACUGAGACACGGCCCAGACUCCGACGGGAGGCAGCAGUCUGGAAUUUGUGACAAUGAGCGCAAGCCUGAUCCAGCCAUGCCGCUUGUCUGAAGAAGGCGUUCGGGUUGGAAAGGAGUUUUGUCAGGGGAGAAAAGGCUGUUGCGAAUAUGUACAGCUGAUGAGGGUACCUGAUGAAUAAGCCACGGCUAACUACGGG
Molecule: ribosomal RNA, 490 nt
Filed under: uncultured bacterium
Lineage: Bacteria
Description: partial 16S ribosomal RNA
Rfam family: Bacterial small subunit ribosomal RNA
Source: RNAcentral